Molecule: non-coding RNA, 88 nt
Organism: Abortiporus biennis
Lineage: Eukaryota; Fungi; Basidiomycota; Agaricomycetes; Polyporales; Podoscyphaceae
Source: the annotation of a GenBank genome assembly
GCAUUAAUGGGGUAGUGGUAACCUGGGUCGUUGCCAUUAAGUAUAGCGGUGUUUCGACCCGCCGGGGGUUCGAUUCCCUCUUAAUGCA